RNAcentral lists this ribosomal RNA (114 nucleotides) under Patescibacteria group bacterium. The record is from RNAcentral. RNAcentral also lists the same sequence under 1 other name.
CCCGGUGAUGAUGGCAGUGGGGUAACACCUCUUUCCAUUCCGAACAGAGAAGUUAAGACCACUUACGCCGAAAAUACUUAGAGAAAUUCUUGGGAAGAUAGGGCGUCGCCGGGG